UUCUCCUCAAAUUUAAACUCGAUUACCGCGGCUUACCGAAACCGUGCCUCCGUGGAGAGCACGGUUACCACGGUAACCGCCGUGGUUUUCGUGGUUUUGCAAACCCUGGCGGCAAGGUCGGCCAGUGAGACGAUGGGGGAUAAGCUUUAUCGUCGAGAGGGAAACAACCUGGAUCACCAACUAAGGCCCCUAAAUGACCGCUCAGUGAUAAAUGAGGUGGGGGUGCAAAGACAGCCAGGAGGUUUGCCUAGAAGGAGCCACCCUUUAAAGAGUGCGUAAUAGCUCACUGAUCGAGCGCCCUUGCGCUAAAGAUGAAUGGGGCUAAGCGAUCUGCCGAAGCUAGGGGUGAAAACGAGACGGAUAUUACCCGUUCGCCCGCCCGCCCGAAUUAAUUCGGGACAAAUUCGGGUCACCAAAUCGGGUAUCUGGAAGAUAAUAUGGAUUUCGGGUCGGGUUCGGGUAUUUUUUUUCUCGGAUACAAAUACAGGUUUGGGAACGUGGUAUCCGACGGAUACGGGUUACCCGGCAAAAAAAACGGUACUACCCAGUUAAAUAUCCAGAUAUGACCCGAAUAGUUAUAGCCCAUCAAAAGCCCAUGUUGCAUUCAUAUACAAUUAAAGCCUAGUAACAAGAAAACAUAUACAUGUACAUUAACUUUAUUUAUACUUCUUGUUCAUAUAUACUAACAUAGUAAUGAUAUAAUUUAAUGAAUCAAUUAUAUUUCCUUACAAGAUUUGCUAAUGCUAGUUGUUACUUCCAUGAUAUAGUUGUAUUUAAGAUUUAUGGAACAGUUGAAUAGCUAUUAUAUAUGUGAUAUAUAUAUAGUUGUUUUGAUUUGAUAUCCGAAUAAGUAUUCGUAACCGUGGUCAUUCAUAUCCGUCUUAGCACGUAUCCGUUCCGCCUUUGUGCCUGAUAUUAUCCGUCUUCGUAUUCGUAUUUGACAAUAUCCGUAUUCGACCCGAUCUCGAAAAGAAAAUAUGGGUUAGGAUACGGGAAGGAUGCUAUCCGACCGUACCCGACCCGGUUUCACCCCUAGCCGAAGCUAUGGGAUAUCAAAAUGCAUCGGUAGGGGAGCGUUCCGCCUUAGAGGGAAGCAACCGCGAAAACGGGUGUCGACGAAGCGGAAGCG
Molecule: non-coding RNA, 1129 nt
Filed under: Oryza brachyantha (malo sina)
Lineage: Eukaryota; Viridiplantae; Streptophyta; Magnoliopsida; Poales; Poaceae
Description: Bacterial large subunit ribosomal RNA
Rfam family: Bacterial large subunit ribosomal RNA (bases 18-367)
Source: Rfam by way of RNAcentral